RNAcentral lists this ribosomal RNA (492 nucleotides) under uncultured bacterium. Its description in RNAcentral is "bacterial SSU rRNA". It matches the Rfam family "Bacterial small subunit ribosomal RNA", at positions 21 to 507 of the family's 1533-position model. The record is from RNAcentral.
GGCUCAGGAUGAACGCUGGCGGCGUGCCUAACACAUGCAAGUCGAACGGAGUUCUUAAGGAAUGCGACUUCGGUCAAAUGACUUUUGAACUUAGUGGCGGACGGGUGAGUAACGCGUGAGCAACCUGCCUUUCAGAGGGGGAUAACAUUUGGAAAUAGAUGCUAAUACCGCAUAAGAUUACAGUACCGCAUGAUACAGUGAUCAAAGGAGCAAUCCGCUGAAAGAUGGGCUCGCGUCCGAUUAGAUAGUUGGUGAGGUAACGGGCUCACCAAGUCGACGAUCGGUAGCCGGACUGAGAGGUUGAACGGCCACAUUGGGACUGAGACACGGCCCAGACUCCUACGGGAGGCAGCAGUGGGGAAUAUUGCACAAUGGGCGAAAGCCUGAUGCAGCAACGCCGCGUGAGGGAAGACGGUUUUCGGAUUGUAAACCUCUGUUUUCGGUGACGAACAAAUGACGGUAACCGAGUAGGAAGCCACGGCUAACUACGUG